UCAGUUCGGAUUGAAGGCUGAAAUUCGCCUUCAUGAAGCCGGAAUUGCUGGUAAUGGCAGGUCAGCAUACUGCCGUGAAUACGUUCCCGGGCCUUGUACACACCGCCCGUCACACCAUGAGAGUUGGGAAUACCCGAAGCCUGUGAGCUAACUUUUAGAGGCAGCAGUCGAAGGUAGAAUCAAUGAUUGGGGUGAAGUCGUAACAAGGUAUC
This 212-nucleotide ribosomal RNA is filed under the name uncultured bacterium. RNAcentral describes it as "partial 16S ribosomal RNA". It matches the Rfam family "Bacterial small subunit ribosomal RNA", at positions 1288 to 1500 of the family's 1533-position model. The record is from RNAcentral.